GAUGAACGCUGGCGGCGUGCCUAAUACAUGCAAGUCGAGCGAACGGACGAGAAGCUUGCUUCUCUGAUGUUAGCGGCGGACGGGUGAGUAACACGUGGAUAACCUACCUAUAAGACUGGGAUAACUUCGGGAAACCGGAGCUAAUACCGGAUAAUCUUUUGAACCGCAUGGUUCAAAAGUGAAAGACGGUCUUGCUGUCACUUAUAGAUGGAUCCGCGCUGCAUUAGCUAGUUGGUAAGGUAACGGCUUACCACGGCAACGAUGCAUAGCCGACCUGAGAGGGUGAUCGGCCACACUGGAACUGAGACACGGUCCAGACUCCUACGGGAGGCAGCAGUAGGGAAUCUUCCGCAAUGGGCGAAAGCCUGACGGAGCAACGCCGCGUGAGUGAUGAAGGUCUUCGGAUCGUAAAACUCUGUUAUUAGGGAAGAACAUAUGUGUAAGUAACUGUGCACAUCUUGACGGUACCUAAUCAGAAAGCCACGGCUAACUACGUG
This 497-nucleotide ribosomal RNA is filed under the name uncultured bacterium. RNAcentral describes it as "partial 16S ribosomal RNA". It matches the Rfam family "Bacterial small subunit ribosomal RNA", at positions 28 to 507 of the family's 1533-position model. The record is from RNAcentral.